Molecule: long non-coding RNA, 444 nt
Filed under: Nicotiana benthamiana
Lineage: Eukaryota; Viridiplantae; Streptophyta; Magnoliopsida; Solanales; Solanaceae
Description: long non-coding RNA (NBEN_LNC005362)
Source: RNAcentral
CUCAAUCUCCAAAGCUUCUGAGAAGUUCCAGAUCCUAACAACACCUUCUUCUCCAGCACACACAAUACGAUCAGGACCAACAUCCACAGCAAACAGAUUGCUCCCGAAUCCAUGUAGCAUUCUUUGAGGUGGCUCUACAUUUUUAACGCAAUUGUCAACCUUCCAAGUCUUCUCCAUCACAUAACUAUGCCUUGUCCUCAACAGCUUUCUCACAUCAAUAAGUGAUAGUUUUCCAUCACUAGAAGCUGAAACAAGCCAAGGGAAAGAUUGCACCCAAAUCCAUGUAGCAUUCUUUGAGGCGGCUCUACAUUUUUAACGCAAUUGUCAACCUUCCAAGUCCUCUCCAUCACACAACUCUGCUUUGUCCUCAACAGCUUUCUUACAUCAAUAAGUGAUAGUUUUCCAUCACUAGAAGCUGAAACAAGCCAAGGGAACUCAAAAGAA